CACAAUCUUCAUGACAAAAUUAAAAAAUGUGUCGCCUUAAAUAACUUUAUUGCCACAACAUUUUACAUGUCGUGAAAUCAAGAUUUUGUUGUAGUGUAUGUACUAUCACACCGGCUGGCAAUUGCUCGACUAUCAUAGUCUCUGGUGUAACUGUCGGGAGUAUUUCAUUCGAAUUCGAGGGCAAGGAGUUACUGCAAUCACUGGCUGUAAUUCCUUUCAGUUGCAUUGCAGUACAGGAAGUAUUUUCACCCUCACCAUUUUAAAACUCAAUUUCCCCAUCUCCUUUGAACCAAAUCGACUCUAAGACAACCACAUUUCUUUUCUCAUUCAUCAUAUAUUAUUUAUGGAUUUAUUCAAAGGGAAAAUCAACAUCAAAUUCAGACCAUAGCUCACAAAGAUAUGAUUUUUAUGAAAUUUCAAAUUUUUGCAUACCUUUGAACUUUCAAUUAAAAGUUGUGGAUUUGAUUGUUGAUGAGGAGAUUAGAUUAGGUAGUUGUUGGGUUUCGUUGGUAGAUUAUUAUGAUUUAUUUUUUAUUUUUUGGCUGGAAUUCAUUCACUCAAUGCGUUUUAUCCCCAGCAUUUUUUCCCGCUCAUAAGAUAUUCGAUAAAAUGCCUUAACGGUGAUAUUUGGACCCCAUUUUCAUACGACUCACAUAUCAUCCCCUACAUUAUAUCCACGAGCGUACACAUUUGCAUUAUAUUCACAACGUUAUGUUCACGCAAAGCAUGUAGUUUCUGUUCCCUAUUUUCAACUCCUAUUUCCAUCCACCUCAUUGCACUCAUUAUUGAUCCAUUUGAGGUGUCUUGUGCUCCAAUUGUGCAUCUUAUCAUAUCCUUUGUGUACCUAUAAUAUUCAUGAUUUUCAUCUAAAAUUGAAGGUUACGAUGACAUUCAAAUGCAAACACCAAAAGCAACGGAAAAUAUGAAUGGAAAAGCUCAACUUUUGCCUACACCGACACACCCCUAAGUGAGUCUUUGCGGAUCUCUUUUGUUAUUCUUAUUGAGAUAUGAUUUAUAAUUGCAUAUUUUGAUAUAUAGUUUAAGUAUGGGAGUGGUUGUAUCAAAAUAAUAUACAUAUAUGAUGAUCGAUAUUGUGAGAGAUUUGAUUGCCGUGUUUGGUUGCAUGUCACUACUUCCGUAUACGUAAAAGAUUCAAAAAUAAUUUAUUGCUUUAUGUGUUCUUGUGAGUUGGAUGGCUUUGCUGACUAAUAAUGAUAUUAUUAGAAUUGCUAAGUUUCACGAAUUGUUUACCAGGUAGACUUGGAUUAUUUUGAAGGUUAUUCUUGUUAGAUUUUAAUAUAUUUUGAGCAUGAUAUUAGAAAGAAGCAGUUUAUUAUUGAUUCUAUCAAUAACGUAGCGAUAAAGCUGUCUACAGGUGAACUGAAAAAUAGAAAUAUCUAACGAAAUUUGAGGGAAAAAUAGUUAUGCUGAAAAAAUAAAAAAUAAAAAAUUGCAUUCAUAUUUGUCUACAUGCUCAUAUUAGCAGCUGCAGAGUAAAAUGCUGCAAUUCCUGGCUAAGCUUUAGACACUUAAAUGAAGGAUUUGAAUUUUUAAUGAUGGUAAGCCUUGGUGAAGUUCGAAGGUUGAGCUACUUAAAUUGAAGAAGAAUAAUAAUCAUAAAUCGAGAUAGUGACUUCCAUUGGUUAGAUCCAGACAGACUUUUACUAGAAAGGAAUGAGUAAUGAUAAUUUAUCUUUUAAAAUGAAUAACAUUUAAGUAAAAAGAACAAAUUUGGGCAUGCAUCUUACUGGAGUUUAUAGAUUGAAUUGACUAUACACACACAUCGAUCUAAUAUUGGAUGAGUGAAGGAAUUGAUCACGAUAGCAUAUCUUGGAAGCUGUGUAUUAACUGUUCAAGGAUUUCAAAAUAUGAGGCAAAACGAAAAGCAAUCUAACUAGGCAAAACGAAAAGCAAUCUAACUAUGUUAUUUAUAUUUUGUUUGUGUGUGUGCACUGAGUAGCUAAUUUUGUUUUGGUCAAAUAAAUGAUCAAGUUUGGAGGUAUUUCAUAAGUAUGAUAUCUACACUCAUUCCAAAACAUCAAAAGUGGAUUACUGUGAUCCAACUUGAUGAUAUUAUUACUUAAUUUGAUUAAAUAUAGAUUGUUAUAGGAUAAAUUCAAGUUUGGACAACUAUUCAUGACAAAGUGGAAAUUGGCCAAAGAAAGGUGAAAAAUGAAGAAUUGUCAAGUUUAAGGUCUAAAUUACAAAUCUCUAGAAAUUGAUUUAGAUUAAGAGUGGAUAACUGAAUAUUACAUGGAUUAAAUUGGAUGAAUUGGAAUUUGAAGGAUUUGAAACAAUUACAGAAGAGGACCGAAGAUGAAAGGUGUAGAAGUUAGGGACCAAGAUGAACUAAAGUGGAAAUUAUAUACCAAUUUUUUUUUAACUAUAUUUUUAUUCUCCAACAUUUCAAUUAGAGUGCAUUUGAUUGGCUUUAUUUUUGAUAAUAUAUAUAUAUCAUUUUUUUCAUCUAAAUUCCUACUUUUGUUAUAUUUGAUAAACAAUUUUUUUCAUAAAAAAUAUUUUCCAACUUUUGGUCAGGUGACCAUAUUUUCUUCAAAAACAAGGAAAAUAUUUUCUUUAGCGAGGGGUGAUUUCUAUUUUCCUGGUAAUUUACUAUCUCUUUCUCUCUUACCUAACCAUUCCCUCUCAUCUUACCCACCAAUAAAAAAUAAAUAAGUAUAAUAUUUUUAGGUUGAAAACUAAAUCAAUCAAGCAUAUUUAAUUACAGAUUUUCAUACAAAUAAGUUCUAUAAAAUUGAAUUGUCUAAAAUUUAUUUUCUUCCUAUGCAAAUUUCAUACUUGUAAUCAAACGUAUCCUUACUAUUUCAUUUUUAUCUAAAAAAAUGGUGUGUUUAGCCUAUUGUUUUCAAUUUUGCAAAUGAUGAUGCUACACGCACAUGAGGGUUUUACACACUCAAAACAUGUUCUCAUAUUUUCCAAAACAAGGUUAAAUUAUGAAAUUCAAAAUACAUUUUUUAUGUUUUCAGUUACAACUUAAAAAAUACUCAAAACAUGGAAAACAUGCAUUGAAAUAAAUUUUUAUUUAAAUAAAAUUCAGAUAAUUAAAAAUUCUUAAAAAAAAAAAUCAAAGAAAUGAAAUUCAAAAAUAAUAAAUAUUUGACAAAAUUCUAAAAAUAAUGUUUUGAAAAAAUAAAUUCUAAAAUUCUAAAAAUUCUAGAAAAAUAAAUAAUAAAGAAUAGUUAAUCUCUUGAUGAUUAUUUACAUAAAAAAUUGUUAGCUUCAUAUGAUUAGAAUGGGUGAUGGCCCAAAACAUAGUUUGGUUUCCAUGUGUUAAGCAUAUGACCAAUAACUUCAUAACGCUAGCUACUGCGUAUUACUAAAAGUGGAAGUCGACUUUGCUACAUCUUCUACUACCACACAAUCAUCCCCGAUUAGUUAUAUUCAUGUUCUUCAACUGGUAAUAAUAUGCAAUGAUAGAGAUGGAGUAAUCCUUGUUAAAUAGAGGUUGAACAUUUUAUUUUAUUUUUUUGUUUCUGUAUUCUUGAUAAACCAACAUUUAUAUAUUACACAUGGAUAGGCUCUAAUAAAAUUUGCGUGCGAGACAGGUUACCUAAUUAAUUUUCAGGUUAAAAAAUUACCUGUAUUCUCAACGAUUUGUCAUGUUGAAAAAUUACUCUAACUUAAAAUGAAUAGGAAACCCAUUUUUAGCUACAAGAUAUAUAACAUAAAAAUUUAUAUGAAUUGAUUGCUUUUAACUUAUUCAUUGAUUUUUUUUUUUUAUUAGAAUGUAGAAAUUAAAAUUUUUAUUUAUUUUUAGACUGUUGGAAGAGUGAAAUGAAGUAUUUUAUAAUUUUUCCAAUAUUUUAUUGACUUACUAAAAUUAUUUUUUAUUAAUUUGAUAUUAUAGUUUUGGAAAAGAAAGAUAAUAAAUUUUAUAAAUCUGAUACAUUAAAACAUUCUUUAAACAAAAAUAUUUAAUAAAAAAACAAUAAUUACAAAUAUAAUAUGCAACAUUUUAUGUAACAUUAUAUAUAGGAUGUGAUUUAUUAUUAUAGUUAAGGUUGUUUUUGUUUGUUCAGCUAUUUAUAAUCGGAUAUUUGUAAAUUUUUCCGCAAAAGGCAUUUCUUGUAACCAACAUGCAAAAUGUAGUCUGUAAAAUGUAAAUUUAUAAAAUACAGUAUAUAAAGUAUAAUUACACCCUAUAAAUAUGGCGUAUUUUGUAAAUUUCCCUUCAAAUAAUCUCAUUGCAAUAGAAAAUACUAAUCAAUUUAGGAUAUAGAAAUAUAAUUAUGUUCUAAUUACCAAGUCAAAAUUUCAACAAUUUUUUACAUUGACUUUUAAUUGUACAAUGAUCUUCCAUGUCUCCUUCCAAUUGAAUAAUAUUCCCAUAAUACAGUCCCGUUUCCCCUAUUAUCUUGGUCAUACAACUUGGAAAAUUUUAAAGAACCUUUUCUUUAACUAACACAAUUCUCAAAAUAGAGAAUCAACAUAAUUCAUCAUAAAGGAUAUACAUACUUAAAACCACCAAGUUCUAAGAAUUUCAAUUCGGUGUAUGUUGAACAAACUUGCUGAAAAUUUACUGUGCAAUUCCCAUGUUUGGCUUUUCGGGAAGUUCAUCAACCAUAUAUAUAGCCUCCGUUUGGCCUUUAUUAAUUUUCAUUCUAUUACAUUUCAUUUUUCUCUCUCCUAUUUUCAACCACAAAAUCUUCCAUAAAAUAAUAUUACACAUAAAUCGAAAACUUCUCAUUCUUUUUCAACAACUUAUUUUUCAAACAAACACUAUUCCACCCAUUUUUAUUACCACAAAAUGGGGGUCAAACAGGGGCAUAAAGUAUAGUGGUCAUAUCCAACCUAGACAUUGACCAAGACAAUAUAGCGAAUUAAUGGUUCAACCAAGGAAUCGAUUCUACUCAAAUAUUUUAUUAUUUUGACAUUUUUUUAUUACUAAGAGUGCGUUUGAUUGUCAAUAUUUUUCAAGGAAAAUGUCAUUUUCACCCAAAUUUUUACAUUUGUGUUAUUUGAUCGAUAUAUUUUUAUGAAAAAUAUUUUCCUACUUUUGAUCACAUGAUUAUAUUUUCGUUAAAAAGAAUAAAAAUAUUUUCAUUAUGAGAGUAUGUAUUUAUUUUCCAAGUAAUUCACCCUCUCUCAUCUAUCCACUCUCUCCCAUCUAGCUACCAAUAAAAAUUGGAUAAGUAUAAUAUUUUUUAGGUUAAAAAUAAAAUUAAUCAAAAAUAUUUAAUUGACAAAAUUUAUGCAAAUAAUUUCUAAGUAAUUCAAUGGCUUAAAAUUCAUUUUCUUUCCAUGUAAAUUUCACUCUCGCAAUCAAAAACUGCCCUAAUUAAAUUAACUUCAUGUUAUUUUGGUGAUUAAAGAUCAAUCGGUAGCCAAAUUCCAAAAAUUCUAAAUCAUAUAGUGAAUUAUGCAUUUUAAACCAUAAAACAACAACCAAUUAUAAAAAACUACUUUAUUUCACAAAGUUCAACAAGAUAGCUUCAUAUACUAUAAGAAUAUGCUUGCAAAAAUAAAACAAUCAUUUAAUAGUUAUUUGUGGAUAAAGCACAGGUUAACAAAGUAAAUUAUUUGAAUAAUUCAAUAUUCUCUCAAUUAAGAAAAGUAACAACGCAUACCAUAAAUUCUUCAAUUCCUUCGCCUUGUACUCAUGAUGGAGUCUUGGUCAUACUAAAAUUCUCAUUUCCAUUUUAUCACUUCUAUUUUCAUUGCCAUUGCCAUUGCCAUUGCCAUCACUUCCAUCACCAUCAAAAUCAAGAUCAUCAAAAUGUAAUUUAUCUGGAAAAAUUUUUAAAAUUCAACGUUACAUCAUACAUAUACUUUAAUUAAAAGAAGAAACAAUAACAUUAAUCAAACAAUUAUCAUCAUUUUUAGCUUUUGUAUAGUACACUAAAUCACGACAAAAUGUUUCCUACUUGUAUCAUCUAUCAAUUGAUGGCUUCUCCUCUAACACCCAAUUGCCAUAAAUGCCAAACCUUUCAAAGUCUAUAUGAUCAUAAUUUCGACUCUUAAAGUAAUUCUUAAACAACACAAUUUAUAAAUAAUACAAUAUAAUUCUUGUAAAAGAAAACAAAAUCUAAAAAUCAAAUAAAUCAUAAAAUGAUGAAAUUUUAAUCAUUUGGUGCUUGAGUCUAUUUCUCCUUUUUGAGUGGAUAUGGUCAAACAUACUCUAAUUUCCUUCAUUGCUUGAAGAACUAAAUGUUUGACUUAAUAUUCGUGUUGCAAGUGUUUGUAGGUUAGGUACACUAUGAUAACAAAUCCACCAUUCAUCUGUAUAAAAAUAAAAGCAAAAUAAAAUAAAUGUAAGUUAUAUAAACUGAAAAUAGAACUAGAUAAAACAACAAAAAACUGUGGUCUAGUAAGUCAACAAAUUAUACAAGACUUAAAGCUUUUGGUUACACUGCCUAUUCUCAUCAAAGUGAAGGCAAACUUGAACCAAGAUCCAUAAAAUGUUUUUCUAGGUUAUGGAGAGGAAAUCAAAGGUUAUAACUUUGAUUAAAGAGUCAACAUGAUUUCAAAGUCAUAAUUAGUAGGAAUAUCAUUUUUAAUGAAAAUGAUAUGCCUUAUAAACUUGAAUGAUCUCAAUGAUUUGAUUGUGGUGGAGAUUAAAUAAAUCAUGAUGAAGAUGAAUCUAAAAAUGAAGUUGAAUCUCAAAAUCGUGUUCUUGCCGAUUAUCUAACUAGAGAUAGAAUUAGAAGAAAUAGAUUUUCGUCUACUAAAAUUAGCAUUGAUGAUUUUGGGACUUUCUUUUCUACAUUUGACUCCUUAAAUUUUGAACCAGCUACUUUUGAAGAGGAAAGUAUUGAAUCACAUUUUUGGAAAGAAUCCGUGAAAGAUGAGAUGGACUCUUUGAUUAAAAAUAAAACUUGAAUUUUGGUUAACAAACCUAAAAAUCAAAAAGUAGUGGACUAUAAGUGGAUUUUUAAAAUCAAAGAAGGAGAUUCUAGUACAAAGAACAAAAGAUAUAAAACUAGACUUACAGCUAGAGAGUUCUCUCAAAGAAAGGGAAUUGGAUAUAAUGAAAUAUUUCCCUUAUUACAAAAUAUAAUUCAAUCAGGAUUCUGCUUGUGUUGACUACUCAUUUUCACUGGAAACUGGAUCAGUUUGAUGUUAAAACUACCUUUCUAAAUGGUGAUCUUGAUGAGGUUAUUUAUAUGAGUCAACUAAAGGGUUUUAAAGUUAAUCCAAAAUAUGAAAAAGGUAUGUUUGUUAAAAAAGUCUCUUUUUGGCUAAAAGAAGCCCCCAGACAAAAUGGUACAAGAAAUUUAACUUAUAUGUUCAAAAUUUGGAUUUUGUUAAGAGCAAUUUUGGAUAUUGUUUCUUUUACAAAUGAUAGGAGAACCUGAAUUUCUUUACUUGCUAUUAUAUGUUGAUGAUAUAUUGCUAACUUGCCAUGAUAGAUCUGAUAUAAAUUUAAUUAAGUCAAAAUUGAAAUCUGAAUUUGAAAUGAAAAAUCUAGAACAUGCUAAAAGAAUUCUUGGAAUGGAAAUUAAAAGAGUUGGGAACAAUUGUAUUCUUUAUUUGAAUCGAUGCUCUUAUGUGAAAUGAUACUUAAAAGGUUUUCUAUGCUUGAAUGUAAACCUAUUUCACUUCCUAUUGCUAAUCAUUUUAAAUUGUCUAGUGAACAGUCACCUAAAACAUGUGAUGAGUUUGAAAGAAUGAAAAAUGUACCUUAUGCCAUUAUAGGGUCGAUUAUGUAUCUCAUGGUGUGUACUAGAUCUGACGAGGUUCAUGGCACAAGUAUUCUUAAUAGAUUUAUGGCAAACAAAGGUGAAACACACUAUUUAGUUAUUAAGUGGAUGUUAAAAUAUUUGACAAGUUCAUCUGACUUAGGUUUAAAAUUUAAAAAUUCUUAAAGGUUAUACUGAUUCUGAUUUCGCUGAAGAUUUAGAUAAAAGAAGAUUCAAUUCAUCUUAUAUUUUUUACUUUGUGUGAUGGAUGUCUUAGUUGGAAAUCUCAAUUGCAAAAACUUGUAGCCUUAUCUUCUAUAGAGGUAGAAUAUAUUGUUGUCUGUGAUGCUGUUAAAGAAAAAUCUUUGGUUACAAGGAUUGUUAAAUGAAAUUGGAUCAAAAAAUGAAAUGGUUAGAAUUUAUGCUGAUAAUCAGAGUGCAGUUCACCUAAGUAAAAAUUCUAUAUAUCAUGAUGAAACAGAACAUGUUGAUGUAAAGUUUAAUUUUGUGAGAAAAAUUCCUAUUGAAUUUAAUCCAUCUGAUUUUCGAACCAAGGAACUGUAUAAAUUCAAAAACUGCUCGAAAGGUUGUGAAUUUAGAAUUUCAAGCUGUAUUGUUUUAUAUGUUUACUAACUUUUUUCCCCCCUUCUUACAUGUAAAUAAGAGCAAUGAAACAGGCUCCUACUAAAGGGUAUCUAUCAACAACGAGAAGUUUUUGAACUUAAUGUAUGUUUUAAGAAGUUUUGUGCUUAUUCCUGGAUUGAAGCAAGUGCUGUGUUGAUUUAUUUAAUUUAAUAAUGUAUAAAUAAGGGUCCAUUUAUGAAGAUUUAUACAGCCU
Molecule: long non-coding RNA, 8478 nt
Filed under: Olea europaea (common olive)
Lineage: Eukaryota; Viridiplantae; Streptophyta; Magnoliopsida; Lamiales; Oleaceae
Description: long non-coding RNA (OEUR_LNC009593)
Source: RNAcentral